Molecule: non-coding RNA, 1116 nt
Organism: Macaca mulatta (Rhesus monkey)
Lineage: Eukaryota; Metazoa; Chordata; Mammalia; Primates; Cercopithecidae
Source: RefSeq, a predicted model, not a curated record
AAACUUGGAAAUUAUUCUCUUCGGUGCCGGCGAAUCCAGAAGGGUAUCAGAUUAUUAAACACCGAAUUCAGCCACUGAGAAAGCACAGUGCGACCAAAAGCAGAUGGGAAUGACACUGUUGAGAGGAGGGAGCAACUCAGAAGCCACCGUUCACUCAUGCUGAAUGCCCACCACAGGCCCGGGGUAAGCCACCUAGACUAAGAUCCAGAGAACCGGUUCUCACGUGGUGUAGUAUCAAGACAUCUUUACAGUCUCAGAUGACUGAGGACUCCUAAGAGAUUUGUUAAUGAGAGUUAUAACUACGAAUGUUUAACAUACUAGCAAUUGAGACUGAGAAAAUUUUACUUAACUUUAUUCUCCAAAAACAAUUGAGUGGAAAGAGCAGUCCUGUUUUAUACUCAGAUAGAUCCCUGUAAUGUCUGGCAGAUUCCUCUGCUCUCAUUCCACCUGCUGAGAUCAAGAUCUGUGGCUGCUGGACAGGAGACAGCCCAGGCCCCCGGGAGACAUGAGCUGGAAGAGGGGACCCGGUGCACCCAAGAGAGGGCCCUCAGAACUCACUUUGUGAACUGCUAUCUAGAGUUACCCAACAAGCGGUUCUUUUCCUUACCAGGCUCUCUGUUUCCAUCCCAGGAAUCUGGCUUCCGCCCUCCUUCAAAGCGAGGGAACUCGUCAGGAGUGGGAAGUAAACCCUUCCUUCCUCCUACACAACAGAGCAAACAGUGCUGCACUCAAGACUGUUCCCGGUAUAUUCACAACCACUGUAUUCUGCACCCUAUCCUUCCAGACCAGGUGUCCUUAGUAACUCGCUCACCUCGUGGGGUACCCCGACCUCGACCUCUGAGAUCUCGUCCUCGGGCCGCUUCCUCAGAAGCAUCAAAAUUCUCCUCUGGACCAAAGUCUUCAGGACCAGGAAAACCAUCCCUUCCUCUCGGGGGAGCACGGCCCUCAUGCCUCGGCGGGGCUCCUCUUCUGAAACUGUAAAGCGAAAACAGCAGAAUGUCCAUCUCAGGGAACACCUUGCCACUAAGUUCACGUUUCAAAAAAGCAUGUGAUAUGAGAAAGCAUGAUAUAAUGCUGAUUGGGAGGAAAACAAAAUAAAACUGUAUUUUGAAAGGA